UGCCAGCCGCCGCGGUAAUACGGAGGGUGCAAGCAUUAAUCGGAUUUAUUGGGCGUAAAGAGCGCGUAGGUGGGCUAGUAAGUCAGACGUGAAAGCCCGGAGCUCAACUCCGGAACUGCAUUUGAAACUACUAGCCUUGAGGAUAGGCGGAGAAGACGGAAUUCCACGUGUAGCGGUGAAAUGCGUAGAUAUGUGGAAGAACACCGGUGGCGAAGGCGGUCUUCUAGCUUACUCCUGACACUGAGGCGCGAAAGCAAGGGGAGCGAACAGGAUUAGAUA
Molecule: ribosomal RNA, 279 nt
Filed under: uncultured bacterium
Lineage: Bacteria
Description: partial 16S ribosomal RNA
Rfam family: Bacterial small subunit ribosomal RNA
Source: RNAcentral